Callithrix jacchus (white-tufted-ear marmoset) is the source of this 1610-nucleotide non-coding RNA. The record is from RefSeq and is a predicted model, not a curated record. Lineage: Eukaryota; Metazoa; Chordata; Mammalia; Primates; Cebidae.
AGCAGCUUUGCGGGGCGAGGAAGUCCGACCGCCGCGCGGCGGUCUCUAGGCACCGCGGUUGACUGGCUGCACCUGUCAUCUAGGGGUUCGGGGCACAUCAGCGGAAAAUUCCAGGAAGCCAGCAGACAGGACAAACGCCAUUCUAAAAGAUGCUGGCCCUGCCACUGACCCUUGCUUCUGGAAACCAGUUUUACAGGAAAGUGAUCUUACUUAAGUCUGCGCCACUCACACCAGCCACGUCUGUGCUCCAGCCUUCAGCCGCUGGCCUGUGGUCCUCAAAAAGCCCAGUGUGGUCCAGAACCCUCCCUCUUCGUUUGAUCGACAUCUGUUGCCUGUUGCACUCAGGAGAUGUUGAUCACUUGGGAGAAGCCGCCCUCUGAGACACAGCAGCGCGUGAGCGGAACAGUGAUUGGGCGCUGCCGCCCCCCUACCCCCCCACCACACCAACUGAACCCUGGGCCCUAGUCUUGCUGGGCGCCUGUGGCUUCCACCAGUUCGCCUCAGACGCCUCUUCUGACAUUAUUCUGAAAUUCAUUAUGGUUCAGCAAGAUGCUUUUCAACAUCUAGUGCUUAUGGGAGAAGAAAGGAGUAUUUGAAUUUGAUCUGUUAUGGAAAAUCCAGGGUACAAGGUCAUUGCAAGCAUUAAAUACAUUAAAGUGAAUAAUAUUCUAGUCAAGGUCAAUUUCUUGCUUCAUUUUCUGGCUCGUAUUUGUAACAAUAAAGUGUCAAACAGCUUUGGAACUCUCAAUGUUCUCUUGCCCUGGAAUGAUCUUCUUUUUUAAAACCAAAAAAUACUUAUUGCUUCAUGCUCUAAUUCAAAUUCUGCUUCUCUGAUGAAAUAUCUGAUCUCUAACCCAUCUAUUCAUACCCUCUUCCCAUAAAUACUUCAUCUGUGUCAGAGAAUUAAAGUUGAAUCACACGAACAAUAUGUAAAAUGUAUUAACAUGUUAUAGACUCUUAUUUUUUAAAUAGCUCUUACAACCACUUUCUACUUUCAAUUUAUAAUUAUUUGUGUACAUUAAUACUCCUACAGACUAUAAAUUUGAUGCCAGCAUUAUUUUUCCUUAACAGCUUUACUAAGUGUAAUUCACACAUCAUAAAAUUCAUCUAUGUAAAGCUACAAUUCAAUCAUUACUAUAGUCACAGAGUUGUGCAACCAUUACCACAGUUUAGAAUAUUUUCAUCACAUCAAAAAGAAACGCUAUGCCUGUUAUAAGUCAGUCCACAUGCUCCCUACACCUCCUUAAGUCCUAGACAACUACUAAACUACUUUCUGUCUCUAUAUUUGCUUAUUCUGGACAUUUCAUAUAAAUGAAAUCAUACAAGACACACUCUUUUGUGAUUGGUGUCCUUCAUUUCACAUAAUGUUUUCAAGGGUCAUCCAUGUUGCAGCAUGUAUUAAUACUUCAUUCCUUUUAAUUGCUAAAUAAUAUUCAAUUUUAUGAACAUUAUUCAUCAGCUGCUGAACAUUUGGGUUGUUUCCAUUUGAGGCCAAGAUUCUUAAUUCCUUUGUUUAUUUCACAGAGCAAGUCAAGAUGUCCUGCCCAGAGAUAUGUAUUAAAUAUUUAUUUAAUAAAGUAUACUGGUGAUGCCACUUAUUGUUCCCAGAC